Alosa alosa (allis shad) is the source of this 187-nucleotide small nuclear RNA. RefSeq annotates it as U2 spliceosomal RNA. The record is from RefSeq and is a predicted model, not a curated record. The transcript has a single exon. NCBI's taxonomy places the organism in Eukaryota, Metazoa, Chordata, Actinopteri, Clupeiformes, Clupeidae.
UUUGAUGUUUUGGUGUAAUAAACGAACAUAAAAAAAAAAAAUCUGUUCUUAUCAGUUUAAUAUCUGAUACGUCCUCUACCCGAGGACUAUAUAUUAAUCUGAUUUUUGAACAGAGACGGAAGAGGGCUGUUCCGUCCAUCACGAUCGAACCCGGUAUUGCAGUGACUCCAGGAACGGGUGCACAUCC